UACGUAGGCAGCAAGCGUUGUUCGGAAUUACUGGGCGUAAAGAGUGUGUAGGUGGUGUCGUAAGUUUGGUGUGAAAUCUCCCGGCUUAACUGGGAGGGUGCGCCGAAGACUGCGAUGCUGGAGUAUGGGAGAGGAAAGCGGAAUUCCUGGUGUAGCGGUGAAAUGCGUAGAUAUCAGGAGGAACACCCGUGGCGAAGGCGGCUCUCUGGUACGUGACUGACGCUGAGACGCGAAAGCGUGGGGAGCAAACAGG
RNAcentral lists this ribosomal RNA (253 nucleotides) under uncultured bacterium. RNAcentral describes it as "partial 16S ribosomal RNA". It matches the Rfam family "Bacterial small subunit ribosomal RNA", at positions 524 to 776 of the family's 1533-position model. The record is from RNAcentral.